AGGAGUCGUCGUCUCGUUGCAGGAAAAGCGAGGUUGGCUCGGAUUUGGAUUGGGAGAGAGAGUACGGGAGGGGAGAGAGGGAGAAGGAGAUGGUAUUUGAUUCGGAGGAGGAGGUGUUGGGAUGCUCUACGUCUCUGGCGAGUCCGAGGGGGCUUGCGACACGUAGAGGGGAGGAGCCGCCACCUGUAUUUUGGCAACCGAACACUUGCCGGAAGAUCUGGGCCGCCGUGAGGAUUCGUUCCUAAGAGCAUGAGGCUUGUGACCUGGAUUAAUUGAGGGGUUGGC
This 285-nucleotide long non-coding RNA is filed under the name Phoenix dactylifera (date palm). RNAcentral describes it as "long non-coding RNA (PDAC_LNC017120)". The record is from RNAcentral. Lineage: Eukaryota; Viridiplantae; Streptophyta; Magnoliopsida; Arecales; Arecaceae.